This 420-nucleotide ribosomal RNA is filed under the name uncultured bacterium. RNAcentral's name for it is "partial 16S ribosomal RNA". It matches the Rfam family "Bacterial small subunit ribosomal RNA", at positions 361 to 773 of the family's 1533-position model. The record is from RNAcentral.
AUAUUGGACAAUGGGGGCAACCCUGACCCAGCCAUGCCGCGUGCGUGAAGAAGGUCUUCGGACUGUAAAGCACUCUAAGUUGGGAGGAAGGGCUUUAGGUUAAUACCCUGAAGUCUUGACGUUACCAACAGAAUACGCACCGGCUAACUCUGUCACAGCAGCCGCGGUAAUACAGAGGGUGCAAGCGUUAAUCGGAAUUACUAGGCGUAAACCGCGCGUAGGUGGUUCAGUAAGAUGGGUGUGAAAUCCCCGGGCUUAACCUGGGAACUGCUUUCAUAACUACUGAGCUAGAGGACGGUAGAGGGUAGUGGAAUUUCCUGUGUAGCGGUGAAAUGCGUAGGUAUAGGGAGGAACACCAGUGGCGAAGGCGACUACCUGGACUGAUACUGACACUGAGGUGCGAAAGCGUGGGGAGCAAAC